UACGGAGGGUGCAAGCGUUAUCCGGAUUCACUGGGUUUAAAGGGAGCGUAGGCGGAAUAAUAAGUCAGUGGUGAAAGCCCCGGGCUCAACUUGGGAAUUGCCAUUGAUACUGUUAUUCUUGAGUUCGGUUGAGGUAGGCGGAAUGUUGCAUGUAGCGGUGAAAUGCUUAGAUAUGCAACAGAACACCGAUUGCGAAGGCAGCUUACCAAGCCGACACUGACGCUGAGGCUCGAAAGCGUCGGGAUCAAACAGG
This 253-nucleotide ribosomal RNA is filed under the name uncultured bacterium. Its description in RNAcentral is "partial 16S ribosomal RNA". It matches the Rfam family "Bacterial small subunit ribosomal RNA", at positions 524 to 776 of the family's 1533-position model. The record is from RNAcentral.